CUUGGUCAUUUAGAGGAAGUAAAAGUCGUAACAAGGUUUCCGUAGGUGAACCUGCGGAAGGAUCAUUAUUGAAUGAACUUGGUGUGGUUGUCGCUGGCCCUCUUGGGGGCAUGUGCACACCUACCAUCCUCAUCUCUCCACCUGUGCACCUCUUGUAGAUUUGGAAUUGAUUAUCCGAGGCAACUCGGUCGUGAGGACUGCUAGCACUUAGCCAGCUUUCUUUGCAAUUCCAGGUCUAUGUUUUUCAUAUACCCCAUUGUAUGUAACAGAAUGUAUCAUUGGGCCCUUGUGCCUAUAAACCUUAUACAACUUUCAGCAACGGAUCUCUUGGCUCUCGCAUCGAUGAAGAACGCAGCGAAAUGCGAUAAGUAAUGUGAAUUGCAGAAUUCAGUGAAUCAUCGAAUCUUUGAACGCACCUUGCACUCUUUGGUAUUCCGAAGAGUAUGCUUGUUUGAGUAUCAUUAAAUUCUCAAACCACUACUUGGUUUUAUAUCAAGUCAGUGGCUUUGGAUGUGGAGGUUGCAGGCUUCUUGUAAAGUCUGCUCUUCUUAAAAGCAUUAGUGGUUAUUGAUUCCACUUCUUGGUGUGAUAAUAUCUACGCCUUGUAAGAACGGAUCUAAUGUAGCUGCUCUCAAACCGUCUUUAUUGACAAUUUGAACCAUUUGAUCUCAAAUCAAGUAGGACUACCCGCUGAACUUAAGCAUAUCAAUAAGCGGAGGAAAAGAAACUAACAAGGAUUCCCCUAGUAACUGCGAGUGAAGCGGGAAACGCUCAAAUUUAAAAUCUGGCAGUUUCACUGUCCGAGUGUAAUUUAGAGAAGUGUAUCCGUGCUGGACCGUGUACAGUCUCCAAU
RNAcentral lists this ribosomal RNA (853 nucleotides) under uncultured Hebeloma. Its description in RNAcentral is "eukaryotic LSU rRNA". The stretch from base 308 to 461 matches the Rfam family "5.8S ribosomal RNA". The record is from RNAcentral. Lineage: Eukaryota; Fungi; Basidiomycota; Agaricomycetes; Agaricales; Cortinariaceae.